This 775-nucleotide ribosomal RNA is filed under the name uncultured Neocallimastigales. RNAcentral describes it as "partial large subunit ribosomal RNA". It matches the Rfam family "Eukaryotic large subunit ribosomal RNA", at positions 24 to 646 of the family's 3401-position model. The record is from RNAcentral. Lineage: Eukaryota; Fungi; Neocallimastigomycota; Neocallimastigomycetes; Neocallimastigales.
GUAGUCUCGCACAGAUGCAUAUCAAUAAGCGGAGGAAAAGAAACUAACAAGGAUUCCCCUAGUAACGGCGAGUGAAGCGGGAAGUAGCUCAAAUUUGAAAUCUUAAAGGGUUUCCCUUUACGAAUUGUAGUUUAAAGAAGUGUUUUCUGUUGAAGUUUUGGUAAAAGUUCUUUGGAAUAGGACAUCAUAGAGGGUGAGAAUCCCGUAUUUGACCUUUACUUUCAACUUUGUGAUACACUUUCAAAGAGUCGGAUUGUUUGGGAAUGCAGUCCAAAAUGGGUGGUAAAUUUCAUCUAAAGCUAAAUAUUGGCGAGAGACCGAUAGCGAACAAGUACCGUGAGGGAAAGAUGAAGAGAACUUUGAAAAGAGAGUUAAACAGUACGUGAAAUUGUCAAAAGGGAAGCGUUUGACACCAGUGUUGUUUUUCUGAAAAUCAAUUAAAGAACUGUUUAUGCUAAGUUGUUUAGACUUUAUCAGCUAACUGUUUAGUUUUGAGCUUUUCUUUAAUGCACUUUUCAGUUAACAAGUCAACAUCAAUUUCUUUUGCUGUAAAAAAGCUUGAGGAAGGUGGCUUGAGAUUCGUCUUAAGUGUUUAUAGCCUCUUGCCUAUGCAGUCGGAGAGAUUGAGGUCUGCAGCGUAGAUCCUUCGGGGCUAAAUGCAUUUGUGCUAAGUUAUAACAUUUUAUAGACAACUUGUUGACUAUGAUUUGUCUUGUAGCUUACUCGCUUAUGUUAUUUUACCUACGCUUAGGAUGUUGAUCUGUAGUGCGUGCGC